GGGCUCUCAGGGGCAGGGGGAAUUGCAGAGGUGAUUUUUAAAAUUUAUUUAUUUUUGAAAGUUCCAUUUAUUACACGAGAAAGAGAAAAAAAUCUUCCAUAUCUGCUGCAUUUUCCCCACCAACAGUUUGGUGGGGAAAUACUGUAUCAGUAUUUUUCUCUGAGCAUUUUGAAGGCCUAGUUUAGGAUGCUGCUCUAAUAAGAACUGGGCACCAGCUCAAUUAUGCAGCUGUCUCACUGGCUUUGCACUUCCAAGCUGUGCUUUAGACAGCUGAACUUCAUCAGGGGAGUCACACAAAGGGUUCUUACAGCAUGAAACGCAGCGAGGCAAUCAAAGGUAGCUACUGCUGAGUUCGAAGUGAUAACACAACCUCAGCUGGCCACUCUUGUGCAGGAGGCAUCUUUAAUAUACACCUCCCUCCACGUUUAUCCCCAGGGAAAGCCUGCUUGACCUCCACUUACCCGAAAUGAGAAGCAGAAGUUUGCGAGGAGCUGGGGCUAUCCUAGAGGCCAAUAUUCAGGCGAAGUCCUCAAAGUGCUGCUGUCCUGCUCCCCACAGACAGACUCAUUUGCUGGUGAGUUUUGGCAGUUCAGCGUGUGUUCCCGGUGCAAAUCCUUAGUGUGCGGACAGAUAACUGAAAACCAGCCCCAGCACGCAUGCCAAGAGACCCAGGAUACAGCUCUCAGAAGGAAAAUAAACAGAAAGCAAUACUGCAAAUACUUCCCAUCAGAAAACGACAACAAGCAACUUAUCAUAACUGCAAGAAAGCUAACAACAUUUCCACCCAGUGAUUUUUGGCACUGACAGCUGACUCAGAACAGUUGUUGGUGGCUGGGACAGAUGGACUUCAUGUAUAU
RNAcentral lists this long non-coding RNA (857 nucleotides) under Anas platyrhynchos (mallard). RNAcentral describes it as "lncRNA (ENSAPLG00020013049.1)". Lineage: Eukaryota; Metazoa; Chordata; Aves; Anseriformes; Anatidae. The record is from RNAcentral.